GGGAAUAUAGCUUAGUAGUACAGCACUUGCCUGGCAAGCAAGAGGUCAUGAAUUGAUUCCU
RNAcentral lists this transfer RNA (61 nucleotides) under Cavia porcellus (domestic guinea pig). It matches the Rfam family "tRNA". Rfam says of the family: Transfer RNA (tRNA) molecules are approximately 80 nucleotides in length. Their secondary structure includes four short double-helical elements and three loops (D, anti-codon, and T loops). The record is from Rfam by way of RNAcentral. Lineage: Eukaryota; Metazoa; Chordata; Mammalia; Rodentia; Caviidae.